AGAGAAAACCCCUUGAGCAAUGUUUUCUCUGAUGAUGUUGAUUUUGAUGAGGCAGCCUUAUGCUUUGAAAUGCGGCUUACUAGAGCGGUGGAUUUAUCUCCACUAAUACUUGAGUUAGAUUCAUUUAAUUUUGAAUUGACAUAAUACUUGUACUGAGGGUCUGAGUCAUUCUGACUUAUUUCUUAAGUGAAGCAUUUACUCUCUCUAAAGCAUUCUUUCAGGUUAGACAUAUCUAAGGAGUUCGUAAUACAGCAGCGGAUUUAUUAGCAUUCUAUCAAUUGUUUAGUUUCUUAUGUUUAGUCGGAAGGAUUUCCACCGUAUCUAUAUUGUUGUCUUUAAGACUAAUAGUCCUGAUGUUACAAAUAAUGUAAUAAAUGAAGUCAAAUUCCUCCACCUGUCGUCUGGCCAGUUGGGUGGGGUUUGAUAAUUAAUCAGUCAUCAGUUACAGACUCACUGUACGAGUAGUCAAUUUUUUUUGUUAACAAGAAUAUGGAUGUAAAAGAUCAAUACCCCACCAAAAUCAAUUUACAAACAAACAAUUAAUUACACUACCACGUGUUGCUAUUUUAUCAAGUUAUCGACCCUAACAAAUUACAUUUCAUAUAUUUUACAUCUGCUCACAUGAAAAUGUGUCAUGCAGGGUUUAUUCACUAUUUAAAUGAGUGGGUGUAUUUUUAAAACUAAAACCUACUAACACAUCAAAACAAAACUUGAGCCUUUUUUAUUUAUAAUCGAUUCUAGUGACUUGCACCGCUUGUAUAAAAAUAAAAUAAUGUAAUUAUCCAAUAAUUUUCAGCGUCUUAUCUGUACAGCUAGUUUGCCCAAUCAUCCCAACGGCAACUUCCUAAUUUAAUUUAUUCCUCCCAUUAUUUAUGGACUUGAUUUCAUUAGAAACUCCAAUAGUCAAAGUUGUUGUAAUCUGUAUGUAAAUAUAAUUAUAUUUAGGGUGAGAAUCAACCACAGGAAUUUAUUAUUAAAUACAUUAAGGAAUAACAGACUCCUCCUAAAGAUAAUACCACCAUUACUGAAAAUCAACAACUAAAUCCAGCUAAAUUCGGCACUUAUUAAAAUAACAAAAUACUAGCUAACAGAACUUGACUAAGUCUUAACUUGCACGUGCAUAAGCUGACCACUCCAGUAAAUCCACUAAAUCCUCAACGGCUCCAUGCAUUCUUGACUCGUUCUUUUAGAUAGUGAACUUGUAAUUCUUGAUAGGCAUACGUUGCGACCUUCUUGGCUUAUUAGUUGGGACCCAAUGCGGUCACCGGAUACCGGAUAGCUUACACAAAAAAAAAAAUAAAAUAAGGCUGGUGAAAAUUAGUUUAAAAAAUAAUCAUUAUUAUCUCUCAAUGAUUUUGUUUUUUUUGGUAGGUGUUAAUUUUUGGAUUUGUCGACUCAACGUUUCGUUAUCUUAUCCUCUUAUAAAUUAGUUCUCACAAAAAAAGGAUUUAAUUUAAGUUAUUAUAUUAAAAACACCAUUUUUAUUCUGCUUAGAUAAAAGAUAAUCAUUGACUUUUUUUAAUAAAUUAAUAAUAACGAUGCACAUUAAUCACUUGAAUUUUGAGUUUGGAGAAGGGGGAAUAGGGUAUAUGCGGCAUACGUACGACGUACACACACGAGAUCAGUGCCUAAUUUCAAAUAACAAGGAAAAUUAAUAAUAAAUUAAGAAAAAGAGGUGGGUAAUCAUUAGUAUCUCAUGUUUCAAGUUUCAACCCCCGUACAGUCCCUUUUUCAGAUUUAAUUAGUUAUUUUCAAUUAAAUAAAUGGUUUUGAUGAUGUCAUCAAUACGCAAUAUGGCUGGUGCGUGGGCACAAUGUAUAAUUACGAGAAUGAAUGAAAAAAUAAAUAAAAUAAACAACGUAAACGUGAAAAAAUUAUUUUCGGGGGAGAAAAAGUGAAAAACUUACAAGGGACUUCACUUCAUGACGGGAGGCCCUUCGAGUUAUCACUAGGGUUGGCAAAAAAAUUCGGCCCAGUGUAGAUUUGUGGGUUUAGGCCCGGCCCUCACUCAUGAGGGUUUGGAUAAGAGCCCAAGAAAAAAAAUAUGGACAAAGUCAAAGCUCACUGUUUUUU
This 2073-nucleotide long non-coding RNA is filed under the name Citrus x clementina. Its description in RNAcentral is "Citrus clementina (C. clementina) long non-coding RNA (CCLE_LNC002624)". Lineage: Eukaryota; Viridiplantae; Streptophyta; Magnoliopsida; Sapindales; Rutaceae. The record is from RNAcentral.